CAGAAAGUGUGCAAAUCCAGAGCGAGCACACUUCUACCGACAUUUAUGUCAACAUCAGUGACCAACUGAAUCUCGACUGCACAGUGGGCGAAUCCAACCCUUCCCCGACCGUAUCAUGGUUCAAGGAUGGAGAGUUGUUGCUUGAAGGAGACUCGAUGUUUGUGAUUGAACAAGUUGGGGAAACAGAUCUUGGGGUGUACGUGUGCAAAGCAACAAGUGAUUCACCAAGUUUGGAUGUAAAUUGGAGAGUGUCUAGUGACCCUGUCACGGGGUAUAUGCAUGCAGACACCCAUAUGACGACAACAGACACAGCCACGUCCCACAUAGAUACAACUCCACAUGUUACAACC
Long non-coding RNA from Branchiostoma floridae (Florida lancelet), 350 nucleotides. RefSeq lists it as uncharacterized. The transcript has 2 exons. NCBI's taxonomy places the organism in Eukaryota, Metazoa, Chordata, Leptocardii, Amphioxiformes, Branchiostomatidae. The record is from RefSeq and is a predicted model, not a curated record.